GGGUUGUGAGGUUAAGCGACUAAGCGUACACGGUGGAUGCCCUGGCAGUCAGAGGCGAUGAAGGACGUGCUAAUCUGCGAUAAGCGUCGGUAAGGUGAUAUGAACCGUUAUAACCGGCGAUUUCCGAAUGGGGAAACCCAGUGUGAUUCGUCACACUAUCAUUAACUGAAUCCAUAGGUUAAUGAGGCGAACCGGGGGAACUGAAACAUCUAAGUACCCCGAGGAAAAGAAAUCAACCGAGAUUCCCCCAGUAGCGGCGAGCGAACGGGGAGCAGCCCAGAGCCUGAAUCAGUGUGUGUGUUAGUGGAAGCGUCUGGAAAGGCGCGCGAUACAGGGUGACAGUCCCGUACACAAAAAUGCACAUACUGUGAGCUCGAUGAGUAGGGCGGGACACGUGGUAUCCUGUCUGAAUAUGGGGGGACCAUCCUCCAAGGCUAAAUACUCCUGACUGACCGAUAGUGAACCAGUACCGUGAGGGAAAGGCGAAAAGAACCCCGGCGAGGGGAGUGAAAAAGAACCUGAAACCGUGUACGUACAAGCAGUGGGAGCACGCUUAGGCGUGUGACUGCGUACCUUUUGUAUAAUGGGUCAGCGACUUAUAUUCUGUAGCAAGGUUAACCGAAUAGGGGAGCCGAAGGGAAACCGAGUCUUAACUGGGCGUUAAGUUGCAGGGUAUAGACCCGAAACCCGGUGAUCUAGCCAUGGGCAGGUUGAAGGUUGGGUAACACUAACUGGAGGACCGAACCGACUAAUGUUGAAAAAUUAGCGGAUGACUUGUGGCUGGGGGUGAAAGGCCAAUCAAACCGGGAGAUAGCUGGUUCUCCCCGAAAGCUAUUUAGGUAGCGCCUCGUGAAUUCAUCUCCGGGGGUAGAGCACUGUUUCGGCAAGGGGGUCAUCCCGACUUACCAACCCGAUGCAAACUGCGAAUACCGGAGAAUGUUAUCACGGGAGACACACGGCGGGUGCUAACGUCCGUCGUGAAGAGGGAAACAACCCAGACCGCCAGCUAAGGUCCCAAAGUCAUGGUUAAGUGGGAAACGAUGUGGGAAGGCCCAGACAGCCAGGAUGUUGGCUUAGAAGCAGCCAUCAUUUAAAGAAAGCGUAAUAGCUCACUGGUCGAGUCGGCCUGCGCGGAAGAUGUAACGGGGCUAAACCAUGCACCGAAGCUGCGGCAGCGACACUGUGUGUUGUUGGGUAGGGGAGCGUUCUGUAAGCCUGCGAAGGUGUGCUGUGAGGCAUGCUGGAGGUAUCAGAAGUGCGAAUGCUGACAUAAGUAACGAUAAAGCGGGUGAAAAGCCCGCUCGCCGGAAGACCAAGGGUUCCUGUCCAACGUUAAUCGGGGCAGGGUGAGUCGACCCCUAAGGCGAGGCCGAAAGGCGUAGUCGAUGGGAAACAGGUUAAUAUUCCUGUACUUGGUGUUACUGCGAAGGGGGGACGGAGAAGGCUAUGUUGGCCGGGCGACGGUUGUCCCGGUUUAAGCGUGUAGGCUGGUUUUCCAGGCAAAUCCGGAAAAUCAAGGCUGAGGCGUGAUGACGAGGCACUACGGUGCUGAAGCAACAAAUGCCCUGCUUCCAGGAAAAGCCUCUAAGCAUCAGGUAACAUCAAAUCGUACCCCAAACCGACACAGGUGGUCAGGUAGAGAAUACCAAGGCGCUUGAGAGAACUCGGGUGAAGGAACUAGGCAAAAUGGUGCCGUAACUUCGGGAGAAGGCACGCUGAUAUGUAGGUGAAGUCCCUCGCGGAUGGAGCUGAAAUCAGUCGAAGAUACCAGCUGGCUGCAACUGUUUAUUAAAAACACAGCACUGUGCAAACACGAAAGUGGACGUAUACGGUGUGACGCCUGCCCGGUGCCGGAAGGUUAAUUGAUGGGGUCAGCGCAAGCGAAGCUCUUGAUCGAAGCCCCGGUAAACGGCGGCCGUAACUAUAACGGUCCUAAGGUAGCGAAAUUCCUUGUCGGGU
RNAcentral lists this ribosomal RNA (1959 nucleotides) under Escherichia coli. RNAcentral's name for it is "partial 23S ribosomal RNA". It matches the Rfam family "Bacterial large subunit ribosomal RNA", at positions 1 to 1977 of the family's 2925-position model. The record is from RNAcentral. Lineage: Bacteria; Pseudomonadati; Pseudomonadota; Gammaproteobacteria; Enterobacterales; Enterobacteriaceae.